This 76-nucleotide transfer RNA is filed under the name Methanosaeta sp. PtaB.Bin018. Its description in RNAcentral is "tRNA-Arg". It matches the Rfam family "tRNA". Rfam says of the family: Transfer RNA (tRNA) molecules are approximately 80 nucleotides in length. Their secondary structure includes four short double-helical elements and three loops (D, anti-codon, and T loops). The record is from RNAcentral. Lineage: Archaea; Methanobacteriati; Methanobacteriota; Methanomicrobia; Methanotrichales; Methanotrichaceae. RNAcentral also lists the same sequence under 2 other names.
GGGCGCGUGGCCUAGUCAGGAUAAGGCGGCAGCCUCCUAAGCUGUAGAUCGGGGGUUCGAAUCCCCCCGCGCCCGC